This 493-nucleotide ribosomal RNA is filed under the name Mycobacterium sp. HCUPPB11. RNAcentral's name for it is "bacterial SSU rRNA". It matches the Rfam family "Bacterial small subunit ribosomal RNA", at positions 372 to 875 of the family's 1533-position model. Lineage: Bacteria; Bacillati; Actinomycetota; Actinomycetes; Mycobacteriales; Mycobacteriaceae. The record is from RNAcentral.
UGGGCGCAAGCCUGAUGCAGCGACGCCGCGUGAGGGAUGACGGCCUUCGGGUUGUAAACCUCUUUCAAUAGGGACGAAGCGCAAGUGACGGUACCUAUAGAAGAAGGACCGGCCAACUACGUGCCAGCAGCCGCGGUAAUACGUAGGGUCCGAGCGUUGUCCGGAAUUACUGGGCGUAAAGAGCUCGUAGGUGGUUUGUCGCGUUGUUCGUGAAAACUCACAGCUUAACUGUGGGCGUGCGGGCGAUACGGGCAGACUGGAGUACUGCAGGGGAGACUGGAAUUCCUGGUGUAGCGGUGGAAUGCGCAGAUAUCAGGAGGAACACCGGUGGCGAAGGCGGGUCUCUGGGCAGUAACUGACGCUGAGGAGCGAAAGCGUGGGGAGCGAACAGGAUUAGAUACCCUGGUAGUCCACGCCGUAAACGGUGGGUACUAGGUGUGGGUUUCCUUCCUUGGGAUCCGUGCCGUAGCUAACGCAUUAAGUACCCCGCCUG